GAUGAAGAACGUAGCAAAAUGCGAUACUUGGUGUGAAUUGCAGAAUCCCGUGAACCAUCGAGUUUUUGAACGCAAGUUGCGCCCGAAGCCUUUUGGCCGAGGGCACGUCUGCCUGGGCGUCACGCAUCGCGUCGCCCCCCCCCAAAUUCUCCGUCAGGGGAGCUUGUGUUUCGGGGGCGGAUACUGGUCUCCCGUGCUCAUGGCGCGGUUGGCCGAAAUAGGAGUCCCUUCGAUGGACGCACGAACUAGUGGUGGUCGUAAAAACCCUCGUCUUUUGUUUCGUGCCGUUAGUCGCGAGGGAAGCUCUUCAAAAACCCCAGCGCGUCGUCUCUUGACGGCGCUUCGACCGCGACCCCAGGUCAGGCGGGACUACCCGCUGAGUUUAAGCAUAUCAAUAAGCGGAGGA
This 406-nucleotide unclassified non-coding RNA is filed under the name soil metagenome. RNAcentral's name for it is "partial contains 5.8S ribosomal RNA, internal transcribed spacer 2, and large subunit ribosomal RNA". The stretch from base 1 to 122 matches the Rfam family "5.8S ribosomal RNA", at positions 35 to 154 of the family's 154-position model. The record is from RNAcentral.